AAUAUAUGUAUUCGAGCUGUUAUCGAGCCGAACAUGAGCGAGCUGACCUCAGUUUGUGUUCGGCUCAGUUUAAUAAACGAGCCGAAAAAUUCGGCUCGUGUUCGGCUCGUUUACUUCAGCUUUAUGUUCGGCUCAGUUUAAUAAACGAGCCGAAAAAUUCGGCUCGUGUUUGGCUCGUUUACUAAACGAGCAAAUCGAUCUCGAGCUCAUUUCGAG
RNAcentral lists this long non-coding RNA (216 nucleotides) under Ananas comosus (pineapple). RNAcentral's name for it is "long non-coding RNA (ACOM_LNC023179)". Lineage: Eukaryota; Viridiplantae; Streptophyta; Magnoliopsida; Poales; Bromeliaceae. The record is from RNAcentral.